RNAcentral lists this ribosomal RNA (1388 nucleotides) under Anomala semilla. RNAcentral describes it as "eukaryotic LSU rRNA". It matches the Rfam family "Eukaryotic large subunit ribosomal RNA", at positions 666 to 1862 of the family's 3401-position model. The record is from RNAcentral. Lineage: Eukaryota; Metazoa; Arthropoda; Insecta; Coleoptera; Scarabaeidae.
CCAAGGAGUCUAGCAUGUGCGCGAGUCAUUGGGACUCUAACGAAACCUAAAGGCGCAAUGAAAGUGAAGGUUCGCCACGCGCGAACCGAGGGAGGAUGGACGGUCGAUCGUGGCCGUCCCGCACUCCCUGGGCGUCUCGUUCUCAUCGCGAGAAGAGGCGCACCAAGAGCGUACACGCUGGGACCCGAAAGAUGGUGAACUAUGCCUGGUCAGGACGAAGUCAGGGGAAACCCUGAUGGAGGUCCGUAGCGAUUCUGACGUGCAAAUCGAUCGUCGGAACUGGGUAUAGGGGCGAAAGACUAAUCGAACCAUCUAGUAGCUGGUUCCCUCCGAAGUUUCCCUCAGGAUAGCUGGCGCUCGCUUCUCGCGAGUCUCAUUCGGUAAAGCGAAUGAUUAGAGGCAUUGGGGUCGAAACGGCCUCAACCUAUUCUCAAACUUUAAAUGGGUGAGAUCUCCGGCUUGCUUGAACUGUGAAGCCGCGAGAUAUCGGAUCAGAGUGCCAAGUGGGCCACUUUUGGUAAGCAGAACUGGCGCUGUGGGAUGAACCAAACGCCGAGUUAAAGCGCCUAAAUCGACGCUUAUGGGAUACCAUGAAAGGCGUUGGUAACUUAAGACAGCAGGACGGUGGCCAUGGAAGUCGGAAUCCGCCAAGGAGUGUGUAACAACUCACCUGCCGAAGUUACUAGCCCUGAAAAUGGAUGGCGCUGAAGCGUCGUGCUUAUACUCUGCCGUCAGCGGCAUGUGAGACGGUCCUUAAGAGGUCGUCAUGAAGCCCUGACGAGUAGGAGGGUCGCGGCGGUGAGCGCAGAAGGACCAGGCGCGAGCCAGUCUGGAGCCGCCGUCGGUGCAGAUCUUGGUGGUAGUAGCAAAUACUCCAGCGAGGCCCUGGAGGACUGACGUGGAGAAGGGUUUCGUGUGAACAGCCGUUGCACACGAGUCAGUCGAUCCUAAGCCAUAGGCGAAAGCCGAUGUCGAUGCGGUGUAUCUUUCAGUGUCUGUAUGCUGCCUGCCUGCUGCUGCUGGCCGUUUGGCUGCUGCUGCUGCUGCUGCUGCUGUUAGGGCGGAGAGACUCACACCCGUCGGGCGAAAGGGAAUCCGGUUCCUAUUCCGGAACCCGGCAGCGGAACCGUUAUUAAGUCGUGCCCUCAUUCAGAGAGUUCGUCGGGGCAACCCAAAAGGACCUGGAAACGCCGCCGGGAGAUCCGGGAAGAGUUUUCUUUUCUGCAUAAGCGCUCGAGUUCCAUGGAAUCCUCUAGCAGGGAGAUAUGGUUUGGAGCGCGAAGAGCACCGCAGUUGCGGCGGUGUCCGGAUCUUCCCCUCGGACCUUGAAAAUCCAGGAGAGGGCCACGUGGAGGCGUCGCGCCGGUUCGUACCCAUAUCCGCAGCAG